This is a non-coding RNA of Gemmatimonas phototrophica, 430 nucleotides long. It matches the Rfam family "Bacterial RNase P class A". Rfam says of the family: Ribonuclease P (RNase P) is a ubiquitous endoribonuclease, found in archaea, bacteria and eukarya as well as chloroplasts and mitochondria. Its best characterised activity is the generation of mature 5'-ends of tRNAs by cleaving the 5'-leader elements of precursor-tRNAs. Cellular RNase Ps are ribonucleoproteins. NCBI's taxonomy places the organism in Bacteria, Pseudomonadati, Gemmatimonadota, Gemmatimonadia, Gemmatimonadales, Gemmatimonadaceae. The record is from Rfam.
AUCGUCGGCCGGACGGUCGCGAAGAUGGGGGACGGGCCCUGGUGGCCGCGCCUCAGCUCCGAGGAAAGUCCGGGCUCCACAGGGCAGGUUGCCAGGUAACGCCUGGGUGCGUGCGGCGCGAGCUUCACGCAACGGACAGUGCAACAGAAAGCAAACCGCCGCCUUCGCAAGAAGACGGUAAGGGUGAAAGGGUGGGGUAAGAGCCCACCGCGCGUUCGGCAACGAACGUGGCUCGGUAAACCCCGACCGGAGCAAGGCCAAAUAGGCGGUGAGAGACGGCCCGUCUCGAAAGGGCUGCCAGGCCUUCGGGCUGACGCAGUGAACCGCGGGUAGGCUGCUGGAGCGUGUCGGUGACGGCACGCCGAGAGGAAUGACCGUCCGGUGCACCUCGGUGUACCGACAGAACCCGGCUUAUAGGCCGGCGGUGUCC